CGGACGGGUGAGUAACGCGUGGGUAACCUGCCCUGUACAGGGGGAUAACAGUCAGAAAUGACUGCUAAUACCGCAUAAGACCACAGCACCGCAUGGUGCAGGGGUAAAAACUCCGGUGGUACAGGAUGGACCCGCGUCUGAUUAGCUGGUUGGUGAGGUAACGGCUCACCAAGGCGACGAUCAGUAGCCGGCUUGAGAGAGUGAACGGCCACAUUGGGACUGAGACACGGCCCAAACUCCUACGGGAGGCAGCAUG
RNAcentral lists this ribosomal RNA (256 nucleotides) under uncultured bacterium. RNAcentral describes it as "partial 16S ribosomal RNA". It matches the Rfam family "Bacterial small subunit ribosomal RNA", at positions 99 to 353 of the family's 1533-position model. The record is from RNAcentral.